UCACACAUCGCCUUCCAUUUUGUUUGGGG
Molecule: non-coding RNA, 29 nt
Filed under: Mus musculus (house mouse)
Lineage: Eukaryota; Metazoa; Chordata; Mammalia; Rodentia; Muridae
Source: RNAcentral